GAUGAACGCUGGCGGCGUGCUUAACACAUGCAAGUCGAACGAUGAAGCCCAGCUUGCUGGGUGGAUUAGUGGCGAACGGGUGAGUAACACGUGAGUAACCUGCCCCCGACUCUGGGAUAAGCCCGGGAAACUGGGUCUAAUACCGGAUAUGACCUCGCACCGCAUGGUGCGGGGUGGAAAGAUUUAUCGGUGGGGGAUGGACUCGCGGCCUAUCAGCUUGUUGGUGAGGUAAUGGCUCCCCAAGGCGACGACGGGUAGCCGGCCUGAGAGGGGGACCGGCCAAACUGGGACUGAGACACGGCCCAGACUCCGACGGGGGGCAGCAGUGGGGAAUAUUGCACAAUGGGCGAAAGCCUGAUGCAGCGACGCCGCGUGAGGGAUGACGGCCUUCGGGUUGUAAACCUCUUUCAGUAGGGAAGAAGCGAAAGUGACGGUACCUGCAGAAGAAGCGCCGGCUAACUACGUGCCAGCAGCCGCCGUAA
Molecule: ribosomal RNA, 482 nt
Filed under: uncultured bacterium
Lineage: Bacteria
Description: partial 16S ribosomal RNA
Rfam family: Bacterial small subunit ribosomal RNA
Source: RNAcentral